AACGAACGCUGGCGGCAGGCCUAACACAUGCAAGUCGAACGAACCUUCGGGUUAGUGGCGAACGGGUGAGUAACACGUGGGCAACCUGCCCCGAGCUCUGGGAUAACUCCGGGAAACCGGGGCUAAUACCGGAUAUGACCAUCACGGGCAUCUUUGAUGGUGGAAAGUUUUUCGGCUCGGGAUGGGCCCGCGGCCUAUCAGCUUGUUGGUGGGGUAAUGGCCUACCAAGGCGACGACGGGUAGCCGGCCUGAGAGGGCGACCGGCCACACUGGGACUGAGACACGGCCCAGACUCCUACGGGAGGCAGCAGUGGGGAAUAUUGCGCAAUGGGCGAAAGCCUGACGCAGCGACGCCGCGUGA
This 361-nucleotide ribosomal RNA is filed under the name uncultured bacterium. RNAcentral describes it as "bacterial SSU rRNA". It matches the Rfam family "Bacterial small subunit ribosomal RNA", at positions 28 to 404 of the family's 1533-position model. The record is from RNAcentral.